This 586-nucleotide ribosomal RNA is filed under the name uncultured bacterium. RNAcentral's name for it is "partial 16S ribosomal RNA". It matches the Rfam family "Bacterial small subunit ribosomal RNA", at positions 355 to 1375 of the family's 1533-position model. The record is from RNAcentral.
UGGGGAAUUUUGGACAAUGGGCGAAAGCCUGAUCCAGCAAUGCCGCGUGUGUGAAGAAGGCCUUCGGGUUGUAAAGCACUUUUGUCCGGAAAGAAAUCCUUGGCUCUAAUACAGUCGGGGGAUGACGGUACCGGAAGAAUAAGCACCGGCUAACUACGUGCCAGCAGCCGCGGUAAUACGUAGGGUGCAAGCGUUAAUCGGAAUUACUGGGCGUAAAGCGUGCGCAGGCGGUUUGCUAAGACCGAUGUGAAAUCCCCGGGCUCAACCUGGGAACUGCAUUGGUGACUGGCAGGCUAGAGUAUGGCAGAGGGGGGUAGAAUUCCACGUGUAGCAGUGAAAUGCGUAGAGAUGUGAGGAAGAUACCGAUGGCGAAGGCAGCCCCCUGGGCCAAUACUGACGCUCAUGCACGAAAGCGUGGGGAGCAAACAGGAUUAGAUACCCUGGUAGUCCACGCCCUAAACGAUGUCAACUAGUUGUUGGGGAUUCAUUUCCUUAGUAACGUAGCUAACGCGUGAAGUUGACCGCCUGGGGAGUACGGUCGCAAGAUUAAAACUCAAAUGAAUUGACGGGGUCAUAGCUGUUUCCU